Molecule: ribosomal RNA, 740 nt
Filed under: Vibrio sp. B231
Lineage: Bacteria; Pseudomonadati; Pseudomonadota; Gammaproteobacteria; Vibrionales; Vibrionaceae
Description: bacterial SSU rRNA
Rfam family: Bacterial small subunit ribosomal RNA
Source: RNAcentral
AUUGAACGCUGGCGGCAGGCCUAACACAUGCAAGUCGAGCGGAAACGACACUAACAAUCCUUCGGGUGCGUUAAUGGGCGUCGAGCGGCGGACGGGUGAGUAAUGCCUAGGAAAUUGCCUUGAUGUGGGGGAUAACCAUUGGAAACGAUGGCUAAUACCGCAUAAUGCCUACGGGCCAAAGAGGGGGAUCUUCGGACCUCUCGCGUCAAGAUAUGCCUAGGUGGGAUUAGCUAGUUGGUGAGGUAAUGGCUCACCAAGGCGACGAUCCCUAGCUGGUCUGAGAGGAUGAUCAGCCACACUGGAACUGAGACACGGUCCAGACUCCUACGGGAGGCAGCAGUGGGGAAUAUUGCACAAUGGGCGAAAGCCUGAUGCAGCCAUGCCGCGUGUAUGAAGAAGGCCUUCGGGUUGUAAAGUACUUUCAGUUGUGAGGAAGGGGGUGUCGUUAAUAGCUGCACAUCUUGACGUUAGCAACAGAAGAAGCACCGGCUAACUCCGUGCCAGCAGCCGCGGUAAUACGGAGGGUGCGAGCGUUAAUCGGAAUUACUGGGCGUAAAGCGCAUGCAGGUGGUUCAUUAAGUCAGAUGUGAAAGCCCGGGGCUCAACCUCGGAACUGCAUUUGAAACUGGUGAACUAGAGUGCUGUAGAGGGGGGUAGAAUUUCAGGUGUAGCGGUGAAAUGCGUAGAGAUCUGAAGGAAUACCAGUGGCGAAGGCGGCCCCCUGGACAGACACUGACACU